GACGAACGCUGGCGGCGUGCUUAACACAUGCAAGUCGAACGGAAAGGCCCUGCUUUUGUGGGGUGCUCGAGUGGCGAACGGGUGAGUAACACGUGAGUAACCUGCCCUUGACUUUGGGAUAACUUCAGGAAACUGGGGCUAAUACCGGAUAGGAGCUCCUGCUACAUGGUGGGGGUUGGAAAGUUUCGGCGGUUGGGGAUGGACUCGCGGCUUAUCAGCUUGUUGGUGGGGUAGUGGCUUACCAAGGCUUUGACGGGUAGCCGGCAUGAGAGGGUGGCCGGGGACCUGGCGCCUGCGGGAGGGAGCAGUGGGGUACGGGGGGCAAGCGGGGGAAGCCUGGUCCAGUGAGGGGGAGCGCAAUGCGGCGGCCUUGGGGUCGGGAUGUGGGUUUUCGGGGUGUAAAACGGUUUGGGGUAUGACGCAGGGUGAGUGACGGUAAUGUGUGAAGAAGCACCGGCUAACUACGUG
This 468-nucleotide ribosomal RNA is filed under the name uncultured bacterium. RNAcentral's name for it is "partial 16S ribosomal RNA". It matches the Rfam family "Bacterial small subunit ribosomal RNA", at positions 28 to 507 of the family's 1533-position model. The record is from RNAcentral.